This 460-nucleotide ribosomal RNA is filed under the name uncultured bacterium. Its description in RNAcentral is "partial 16S ribosomal RNA". It matches the Rfam family "Bacterial small subunit ribosomal RNA", at positions 338 to 795 of the family's 1533-position model. The record is from RNAcentral.
CCUACGGGAGGCUGCAGUGAGGAAUAUUGGUCAAUGGACGAGAGUCUGAACCAGCCAAGUAGCGUGAAGGAUGACUGCCCUAUGGGUUGUAAACUUCUUUUAUAUGGGAAUAAAAUGUUCCACGUGUGGGAUUUUGUAUGUACCAUAUGAAUAAGGAUCGGCUAACUCCGUGCCAGCAGCCGCGGUAAUACGGAGGAUCCGAGCGCUAUCCGGAUUUAUUGGGUUUAAAGGGAGCGUAGGUGGAUUGUUAAGUCAGUUGUGAAAGUUUGCGGCUCAACCGUAAAAUUGCAGUUGAAACUGGCAGUCUUGAGUACAGUAGAGGUGGGCGGAAUUCGUGGUGUAGCGGUGAAAUGCUUAGAUAUCACGAAGAACUCCGAUUGCGAAGGCAGUUCACUGGACUGCAACUGACACUGAGGCUCGAAAGUGUGGGUAUCAAACAGGAUUAGAUACCCGUGUAGUC